AGUAAUACAUAAGUAACCUGCCCUAGACAGGGGGAUAACUAUUGGGAAACGAUAGCUAAGACCGCAUAGGUACGGACACUGCAUGGUGACCGUAUUAAAAGUGCCUCAAAGCACUGGUAGAGGAUGGACUUAUGGCGCAUUAGCUGGUUGGCGGGGUAACGGCCCACCAAGGCGACGAUGCGUAGCCGACCUGAGAGGGUGACCGGCCACACUGGGACUGAGACACGGCCCAGACUCCUACGGGAGGCAGCAUG
RNAcentral lists this ribosomal RNA (254 nucleotides) under uncultured bacterium. RNAcentral describes it as "partial 16S ribosomal RNA". It matches the Rfam family "Bacterial small subunit ribosomal RNA", at positions 109 to 353 of the family's 1533-position model. The record is from RNAcentral.